UUCCUUCAGGUUAGUUUUUGAAGGUAUUUUCUGCCCUAUGAUAAAAUUAAUUAAAUGGCUGCAGUAUUCUGACUGUACAAAGGUAGCAUAGUAAUUAGUUUUUUAAUUGAGGACUUGUAUGAAUGGAUAUAUGAGGGAUUUUUUUUAUUGAUUUAAUUUUUAUAAAUUUAUUUCUUGGUUAAAAAGCUAAGCUGAUUAAUUGGGACGAGAAGACCCUAUAGAACUUAAAAUUUAUUUAUUUUAAUUAAUUUUGGUUUUAUUUUAUUAUUUAAGUUUUAUUAAAUUUUUUGUUGGGGUGGUAGGUAAAUUUAAUUAACUUUAUUUUUUUAAUUCAUCUUGUAUGUUUUUUUGAUCCUCUUUAGUGAUAAUAAGAUAAGUUACCUUAGGGAUAACAGCGUAAUUUCGAUUAGGAGUUCUUAUUUAAAUUGGAGUUUGCGACCUCGAUGUUGAAUUAAGGUAGAUUUAAGGUGUAGAAGCUUUUAUAUUAAGUCUGUUCGACUUUUGAAACCUUACA
Molecule: ribosomal RNA, 514 nt
Filed under: Tinobregmus vittatus
Lineage: Eukaryota; Metazoa; Arthropoda; Insecta; Hemiptera; Cicadellidae
Description: partial large subunit ribosomal RNA
Rfam family: Archaeal large subunit ribosomal RNA (bases 388-514)
Source: RNAcentral